AAGGCUAUACUUUAAGGGAUCAUUUCUAUAGUAUGUUACUAGCGAAGCUUCUCUGAUCGUGUAGAGCACCAGAAACCACGGGAGGAGGCGUAGUGUUCCUUCCUGAGCGUGAAGCCGGCUCUGGGUGUUGCUUGAGUGCAACUGCCACUUGCCAUUGAUGAUCGUUCUUGCUGUCCCCUUGGAGGCAGCAGGGGAAGGGAACACAGUCUGAGUGGCA
Small nucleolar RNA from Cavia aperea (Brazilian guinea pig), 217 nucleotides. The record is from Ensembl. NCBI's taxonomy places the organism in Eukaryota, Metazoa, Chordata, Mammalia, Rodentia, Caviidae.